This 664-nucleotide ribosomal RNA is filed under the name uncultured Thelephora. RNAcentral's name for it is "eukaryotic LSU rRNA". The stretch from base 229 to 383 matches the Rfam family "5.8S ribosomal RNA". Lineage: Eukaryota; Fungi; Basidiomycota; Agaricomycetes; Thelephorales; Thelephoraceae. The record is from RNAcentral.
UCCGUAGGUGAACCUGCGGAAGGAUCAUUACUGAAUUGUCAAACGGGUUGUUGCUGGCCCUCAUAGGGGGCAUGUGCACGCUCUGUUUACACAUCCACUCACACCUGUGCACCCUCUGUAGUUCUAUGGUCUGGGGGACCCUGUCUUCCUUCUGUGGUUCUACGUCUCUACACACACACUGUAAUAAAGUUUUAUGGAAUGUACAUCGCGUCUAACGCAAUACAAUACAACUUUCAGCAACGGAUCUCUUGGCUCUCGCAUCGAUGAAGAACGCAGCGAAAUGCGAUAAGUAAUGUGAAUUGCAGAAUUCAGUGAAUCAUCGAAUCUUUGAACGCACCUUGCGCCCCUUGGCUAUUCCGAGGGGCAUGCCUGUUUGAGUAUCAUGAACACCUCAACUCUCAUGGUUUGCCAUGAUGAGUUGGACUCUGGGGGUUUUGCUGGCCUGUGGUCGGCUCCUCUCAAAUUAAUCAGCCUCCCAGUGUUUGGUGGCAUCACGGGUGUGAUAAAUAUCUACGCUCGCUGUUGUCUGCCAGGUAACCUUUGGUCACAAAGGUUUGCUGGAGCUCACAGAUGUCUCUCCUCAGCGAGGACAGCUUUUUUAACGUUCGAUCUCAAAUCAGGUAGGACUACCCGCUGAACUUAAGCAUAUCAAUAAGCGGAGGAA